Molecule: ribosomal RNA, 537 nt
Filed under: Trigonopterus caesipes
Lineage: Eukaryota; Metazoa; Arthropoda; Insecta; Coleoptera; Curculionidae
Description: partial large subunit ribosomal RNA
Rfam family: Bacterial large subunit ribosomal RNA
Source: RNAcentral
GGCUUAUUGUUUAUAAUUUUAAGUCUGACCUGCCCACUGAGGAGUUAAAUGGCCGCGGUACACUAACCGUGCAAAGGUAGCAUAAUCAUUAGUUUUUUAAUUGAAAGCUGGAAUGAAGGGUUUGAUGAAAGAAUAGCUGUCUCUAUAAAAAUUUUUUUAGAACUUUAUUUUUAAGUUAAAAAGCUUAGAUAUAUAUAGAAGACGAGAAGACCCUAUAGAGUUUAAUAUUUUUUUAGUUUAAAUAAGGUUAAGGAUUUCAAUGUAUUAAAAGAAAAAAGUAUUUUAUUGGGGUGAUGGAAAAAUUAAAUAAACUUUUUUUAAAUCAAAUCAUUUAUUUAUGAGUAUAUGAUCCUUGGAUAAAGAUUAUAAGAUGAAAUUACCUUAGGGAUAACAGCGUAAUUUUUUCUAGAGUUCUUAUCGAAAAGAAAGAUUGCGACCUCGAUGUUGGAUUAAAAUGAAUUAUUGGUGUAGAAGCUAAUAGAUUGGGUCUGUUCGACCUUUAAAAUUUUACAUGAUCUGAGUUUAAACCGGUGUGAG